GUUGUAAAGCACUAAAGCGACGAGAGGCUACUUAAGAUAAUACCUAGAGAUAGUGGACGUUACUCGCAAAAUAAGCACCGGCUAACUCUGUGCCAGCAGCCGCGGUAAUACAGAGGGUGCAAGCGUUAAUCGGAUUUACUGGGCGUAAAGCGCGCGUAGGCGGCUAAUUAAGUCAAAUGUGAAAUCCCCGAGCUUAACUUGGGAAUUGCAUUCGAUACUGGUUAGCUAGAGUGUGGGAGAGGAUGGUAGAAUUCCAGGUGUAGCGGUGAAAUGCGUAGAGAUCUGGAGGAAUACCGAUGGCGAAGGCAGCCAUCUGGCCUAACACUGACGCUGAGGUGCGAAAGCAUGGGGAGCAAACAGGAUUAGAUACCCUGGUAGUCCAUGCCGUAAACGAUGUCUACUANGCCGUUGGGGCCCUUUGAAGGCUUUAGNUUUUGGGCGCAAGGCCUUUAAAACGGCCGAAUUUAAAAAGUUAAGAACCCGGGCCCUGGGGGGGAAGUAACCGGUCGGCAAGAACUAAAAACUCAAAUGAAUUGACGGGGGCCCGCACAAGCGGUGGAGCAUGUGGGUUAAUUCGAUGCAACGC
RNAcentral lists this ribosomal RNA (586 nucleotides) under uncultured bacterium. RNAcentral's name for it is "bacterial SSU rRNA". It matches the Rfam family "Bacterial small subunit ribosomal RNA", at positions 422 to 962 of the family's 1533-position model. The record is from RNAcentral.